GCGGACGUGGUAGGCGACGUGGUCGAGGAGGUCGAGGGAGGAGAACAUGAUAUUAUAUUUAUAUAUUAUUGUAUAACUUGUAUUUAUUUUGUAUAUUCUGUUUUGAUUAUUUGGUAUUUAUUAUAUUAUUGAGAUUCUAUUGGUUGUGAUGUUGUAAUGUGUAUUAAUUUUGUGAUGUUGUGAUGUGUAUUACUUUUGUGAUGUUGUUAUGUGUUGUGAUGUGUUGUGAUGUGUAUUGAUAGGUAUAUGUAUUGUAUUCUUGUAUUGAAUCUUGUAAUUGAUUUUUCUGCUUCUGCGACAAUUUUAAAGGUGUGGGCAGUUGUAUUGGACACGGUGAUC
RNAcentral lists this long non-coding RNA (339 nucleotides) under Ananas comosus (pineapple). RNAcentral describes it as "long non-coding RNA (ACOM_LNC013598)". Lineage: Eukaryota; Viridiplantae; Streptophyta; Magnoliopsida; Poales; Bromeliaceae. The record is from RNAcentral.